RNAcentral lists this ribosomal RNA (750 nucleotides) under uncultured prokaryote. Its description in RNAcentral is "bacterial SSU rRNA". It matches the Rfam family "Bacterial small subunit ribosomal RNA", at positions 731 to 1482 of the family's 1533-position model. The record is from RNAcentral.
GGACAAAGACUGACGNUCAGGUGCGAAAGCGUGGGGAGCAAACAGGAUUAGAUANNNGGUAGUCCACGCUGUAAACGAUGUCGACUUGGAGGUUGUGCCCUNGAGGCGUGGCUUCCGGAGCUAACGCGUUAAGUCGACCGCCUGGGGAGUACGGCCGCAAGGUUAAAACUCAAAUGAAUUGACGGGGGCCCGCACAAGCGGUGGAGCAUGUGGUUUAAUUCGAUGCAACGCGAAGAACCUUACCUACUCUUGACAUCCACGGAACUUGCCAGAGAUGGCUUGGUGCCUUCGGGAACCGUGAGACAGGUGCUGCAUGGCUGUCGUCAGCUCGUGUUGUGAAAUGUUGGGUUAAGUCCCGCAACGAGCGCAACCCUUAUCCUUUGUUGCCAGCACUUCGGGUGGGAACUCAAAGGAGACUGCCGGUGAUAAACCGGAGGAAGGUGGGGAUGACGUCAAGUCAUCAUGGCCCUUACGAGUAGGGCUACACACGUGCUACAAUGGCGUAUACAAAGAGAAGCAAACUCGCGAGAGCCAGCGGACCUCAUAAAGUACGUCGUAGUCCGGAUUGGAGUCUGCAACUCGACUCCAUGAAGUCGGAAUCGCUAGUAAUCGUAGAUCAGAAUGCUACGGUGAAUACGUUCCCGGGCCUUGUACACACCGCCCGUCACACCAUGGGAGUGGGUUGCAAAAGAAGUAGGUAGCUUAACCUUCGGGAGGGCGCUUACCACUUUGUGAUUCAUGACUGGGGUG